RNAcentral lists this ribosomal RNA (467 nucleotides) under uncultured bacterium. Its description in RNAcentral is "partial 16S ribosomal RNA". It matches the Rfam family "Bacterial small subunit ribosomal RNA", at positions 28 to 507 of the family's 1533-position model. The record is from RNAcentral.
GACGAACGCUGGCGGCGUGCUUAACACAUGCAAGUCGAACGGAAAGGCCCUGCUUUUGUGGGGUGCUCGAGUGGCGAACGGGUGAGUAACACGUGAGUAACCUGCCCUUGACUUUGGGAUAACUUCAGGAAACUGGGGCUAAUACCGGAUAGGAGCUCCUGCUGCAUGGUGGGGGUUGGAAAGUUUCGGCGGUUGGGGAUGGACUCGCGGCUUAUCAGCUUGUUGGUGGGGUAGUGGCUUACCAAGGCUUUGACGGGUGGCCGGCCUGAGAGGGUGACCGGCCAAGUGGGGAAGGGGACACGGCCGAGGCGCGUCGGGGGGGAUGGGGUGGGGAAUGUGGCAGAAAGGGGGAGAGCGUGACGAAGGCACGCGGGUUGCGGAGUGCUGGCCUUCGGGUUGAAAACCCUUGUGGCUGGUAACGAAGGGGAGGGACGGGAAAUUGGGAAAAAAGCACGGGUAAAUUCGGG